Molecule: ribosomal RNA, 253 nt
Filed under: uncultured bacterium
Lineage: Bacteria
Description: partial 16S ribosomal RNA
Rfam family: Bacterial small subunit ribosomal RNA
Source: RNAcentral
UACGAAGGGGGCUAGCGUUGUUCGGAAUUACUGGGCGUAAAGGGCGCGUAGGCGGCUGUGCAAGUCAGAUGUGAAAGCCCUGGGCUCAACCCAGGAUGUGCAUUUGAUACUGCACGGCUAGAGUGUCGGAGAGGAUGGUGGAAUUCCCAGUGUAGAGGUGAAAUUCGUAGAUAUUAGGAAGAACACCAGUGGCGAAGGCGGCUCACUGGCCCGGUACUGACGCUGAGGCGCGAAAGCGUGGGGAGCAAACAGG